Long non-coding RNA from Carassius carassius (crucian carp), 846 nucleotides. RefSeq lists it as uncharacterized. The transcript has 3 exons. Lineage: Eukaryota; Metazoa; Chordata; Actinopteri; Cypriniformes; Cyprinidae. The record is from RefSeq and is a predicted model, not a curated record.
CCAACAAUGGGACUUGCCAGAAAGAUUUUAACGCUCUGUGAGCAUAAGGGCGUAAAAGGAAACCGAAAAAUAACUGAAUGGCGUCAAAAAAACAGGCUAAUGUCUUCAACGAAGAAAUGCAGAAUAUGUAAAAAAAAAAAUGAAAUUAAGGAAGACGCAAAACAAAGAUGCAUACCAAUGGAUAUGUCAACGAAGAGCACACAAUGAAAAAGUGACAAAAUCAUGCAGGUCAGGAUUAAUAUUCGACAAGACCAAGACAAGUUUACAAAAUUGGAUGACUUUUAUAUACAGUAUGGACAAGGAAGAGCUGGACAGACGUGGAAGAGAAAGAAGUGGGUCUUUGGCAUGCUGUCCAUAAAGGGACAAAGAAGACGACCAGUUUUGCGGCUUGUAGAGAGGCGCUACAGAAAUCACCUGCUUCCCAUAAUUAGACAACAUGUUCACCAAGGGUCAACCAUAUUAAGCGACGAGUGGAGAUCCUACAGAGCUUUAUCGAAUCUUGGUUACAGACACUACUCCGUAAACCACAGCAGAUACUUUGUUGAUCCAAACCAUGGAGGACAUACACAAAAUAUUGAAAGAGCCUGGUUAACCUACAAAAGCCAAAUUUGGCGACUGAGAGGAAAUAGGACAGAGAAGCUUCUUAAAGAACAUUUGUGUUUUAUUGAGUGGACUUACUGGCUGGGAUACAAGCACAAAGAUGGUCCUCUAGGUCGUCUUCUGAAAGACAUUAAAAGGCAUUACAGAGAUUAAAUAUGCUAGAACCCAAACAUUUUUCUUUUCUUCUUCUCCCAGUUCAGACAUCAAAUGGUUUGAUGUUUAUGUGCAGCUGAUAAAAUAAAUAAA